UAUCUCGCUGGUGUAAUUGGCAGCACAACGGUCUCCAACACCGUUGAUCAUAGUUCGAGUCUAUGGCGAGAUGU
Molecule: transfer RNA, 74 nt
Filed under: Secundilactobacillus pentosiphilus
Lineage: Bacteria; Bacillati; Bacillota; Bacilli; Lactobacillales; Lactobacillaceae
Description: tRNA-Trp
Rfam family: tRNA
About the family: Transfer RNA (tRNA) molecules are approximately 80 nucleotides in length.
Source: RNAcentral